This 973-nucleotide long non-coding RNA is filed under the name Mastacembelus armatus (zig-zag eel). RNAcentral describes it as "lncRNA (ENSMAMG00000025623.1)". Lineage: Eukaryota; Metazoa; Chordata; Actinopteri; Synbranchiformes; Mastacembelidae. The record is from RNAcentral.
GUAAGGAGCCAGGACUGGAGCGGUUACAGAACGACUGCUGCACUGCUACUGAUUUUUCAAUUUUGGAGGCAUUUAAAGGUGUAGUCAUCAUGGAGUUUGGGUUGAGAAUCGCUUUCUUUCUGCUUCUGGUGAUUGGAACUGGAACAGUAAAAGGAUUUAGUGUGUUGGAUGCUAUUCGUGGCAGCGGUGAGUGACUUCAGUGGAUAUUAACAUUUGAUAAUAUUUCUGUUAAAAUUUAAGGCUGUGUAAGCUGCUGGGAUGCUAAUGCUAAUAAAACUAUAUUUUAGACAAAAAAACAACAGAUUUGUGUUUAUCUAUGACUCAACUAAAAAGAAAAUAAUACAAAAAUAAAAUGUAUAUGAAUAAUAACAGAGCCAGUGAUGGAACAGGUACCAUCACUUUACCUAAGUAAAAGUACCAAUAAAAAAAACAUUCAAAAUCCUACUUAAGUUGAAGCACAAAAGCAAAAACCGACAUUAAUCUUUACUACUUUCCUGCAAGAGAAUGAACAGUGUUCAAAUGUCAAACUAUUCUUUUAAUGCACAAUGACUAAAAAAGCUAGGCAAGUGAGAUUUUUUAGGAGGCUCCUCUGGGAGACCCAAGUCCAUUGGAGGAGAUCCCAAACCUUCCAAACCUGCUGGAGGAAAUGACUCUGGAUUAAAUCUGGAGGAUGCUCUCCGUCCAGCUGCAAAUCCGACUGAUAAUAAACCCAGUGGAGGAGACAACCAGGGAAACGUGAUCCAAAAACUGGACUCGAUCAUUGAGAACCAAAAUGAGGUGCUCCGCCUGCUGCGGCAGUUGACUGCUCGGCCCCAGUCUCGCUUCCUCUAAAAGGCCCGUGUUGAGAUGAUUAUGGAGAUACAAGAAGAGAUUUGUAAGUAGGGGAUGAUUUUGCCCAACACAAUAGUUUCCUUAUAAAAAAGAAAAACUAAUUUGAAAUUUGCUUGUGUUUUUAGAGCUGGAGAAGACGAGC